RNAcentral lists this ribosomal RNA (254 nucleotides) under uncultured bacterium. Its description in RNAcentral is "partial 16S ribosomal RNA". It matches the Rfam family "Bacterial small subunit ribosomal RNA", at positions 524 to 776 of the family's 1533-position model. The record is from RNAcentral.
UACGUAGGUGACAAGCGUUAUCCGGAUUUACUGGGCGUAAAGAGCGCGCAGGCGGUCGAUCAAGUCGAGUGUGAAAGCCCCCGGCUCAACUGGGGAGGGUCAUUCGAUACUGAUCGACUCGAAGGCAGGAGAGGGUAGUGGAAUUCCCGGUGUAGUGGUGAAAUGCGUAGAUAUCAAGAGGAACACCUGAGGCGAAGGCGGGUUGCUAGGCUGACACUGACGCUGAGUGCGCGAAAGCCAGGGGAGCAAACGGG